GUGCGAAAGCAGGUCAUAGUGAUCCGGUGGUUCUGAAUGGAAGGGCCAUCGCUCAACGGAUAAAAGGUACUCCGGGGAUAACAGGCUGAUACCGCCCAAGAGUUCAUAUCGACGGCGGUGUUUGGCACCUCGAUGUCGGCUCAUCACAUCCUGGGGCUGAAGUAGGUCCCAAGGGUAUGGCUGUUCGCCAUUUAAAGUGGUACGCGAGCUGGGUUUAGAACGUCGUGAGACAGUUCGGUCCCUAUCUGCCGUGGGCGUGGAGAAUUGAGGGGGGCUGCUCCUAGUACGAGAGGACCGGAGUGGACGCAUCACUGGUGUUCGGGUUGUCAUGCCAAUGGCACUGCCCGGUAGCUAAAUGCGGAAGAGAUAAGUGCUGAAAGCAUCUA
Molecule: ribosomal RNA, 386 nt
Filed under: Klebsiella pneumoniae
Lineage: Bacteria; Pseudomonadati; Pseudomonadota; Gammaproteobacteria; Enterobacterales; Enterobacteriaceae
Description: bacterial LSU rRNA
Rfam family: Bacterial large subunit ribosomal RNA
Source: RNAcentral